GGCUCCUUUGGAGUCCGCGUUGUAAUUUGUAGAGGAUGAUUCGGCAAGGGCUCCCGCCUAAGUCUCCUGGAACGGAGCGUCAUAGAGGGUGAGAAUCCCGUAUGCGGUGGGCUGCCUAAGCCAUGUGAAUCUCCUUCGACGAGUCGAGUUGUUUGGGAAUGCAGCUCUAAAUGGGAGGUAAAUUUCUUCUAAAGCUAAAUACCGGCCAGAGACCGAUAGCGCACAAGUAGAGUGAUCGAAAGAUGAAAAGCACUUUGGAAAGAGAGUUAAAAAGUACGUGAAAUUGUUGAAAGGGAAGCGCUUGCAGCCAGACUUGUCCGCAGUUGCUCAGCCGGUCUCCUGACCGGUGUACUCUUCUGCGGCCAGGCCAGCAUCAGUUCGGGCGGUCGGACAAAGACCUCGGGAAUGUAGCUCCUCUCGGGGAGUGUUAUAGCCCGGGGUGGAAUGCGGCCAGCCUGGACUGAGGAUCUCGCUUCGGCUAGGAUGCUGGCGUAAUGGCUGUAAGCGGCCCGUCUUGAAACACGGACC
RNAcentral lists this ribosomal RNA (528 nucleotides) under Botryosphaeria dothidea. RNAcentral describes it as "eukaryotic LSU rRNA". It matches the Rfam family "Eukaryotic large subunit ribosomal RNA", at positions 124 to 667 of the family's 3401-position model. The record is from RNAcentral. Lineage: Eukaryota; Fungi; Ascomycota; Dothideomycetes; Botryosphaeriales; Botryosphaeriaceae.